Long non-coding RNA from Thunnus maccoyii (southern bluefin tuna), 712 nucleotides. RefSeq lists it as uncharacterized. The record is from RefSeq and is a predicted model, not a curated record. NCBI's taxonomy places the organism in Eukaryota, Metazoa, Chordata, Actinopteri, Scombriformes, Scombridae. The transcript has 2 exons.
GAAGAAGAAGAAGAAGAAGUGGAAGAAGAAGAAGAUUAUUUCAAGGAGUAACCAGGAAUUUAAGGUCCCCAAGUCUUUCUCACAUGCCAAACAGUUGUCACAAUCCUGUUCCCUCUUAUUUGCACAAAAAUAGUAGUGAAGGACACACUAAAUUGCUGAACUAGCCAUCCUCCUGAAAGUUUUCUGUGAUAAAUUUUCAAGGAAAUGGAGAAUUUUGCAAAGUUUUACACCACUGUUACAGACAGACUGUCUCUGUUGACCUUGUUUACUGCUUUCAACCAGCAACAACAUGAGAAACAAAGACUUACAUUGUGAUCACUGGAGAUCUUUUUGACUUUAAAACUGAAACAAAUACACAGUUGGAACCAUCAAGAAGUACAUUUGAGCUCUGGCCGUCAAGUCUCUGGUGAAACAGAAAAUGGCCCUCAACAAGGCAAAAGACAUCUUCAUGUAGAGAGGCUGGUGCAUGGACUUCUUUACAACUAGAGCAACAAACAAAGCUUGGCCUGCAACCGUUGACCAGAAGAGCCCUGUUGCCCUUUCAGCUGUGCCUUAAGAGACACGUUUCAACAAGAAAUCUCUAAUCACAGUUCAGGCCCUUUCACAUGACUGAAUGAAGCCAAAGGUUCGGCCUCUGGGUCGAUGGACUGUAUAUACUGUAUGCGCUGACCUUUUGUCUGAAUGUAUGAUCACUAAACAUAUCAAACAAAGA